UACGGAGGGGGCGCGCGUUAUUCGGAAUUAUUGGGCGUAAAGGGCGCGUAGGCGGCCCGGUAAGUCAAAGGUGAAAUCCCUCGGCUCAACUGAGGAACUGCCUUUGAAACUGUCGGGCUUGAGGCCGGGAGAGGGUAGUGGAAUUCCCAGUGUAGCGGUGAAAUGCGUAGAUAUGGGGAGGAACACCGGUGGCGAAGGCGGCCCCCUGGACCGGUACUGACGCUGAGGCGCGAAAGCGUGGGUAGCAAACGGG
Molecule: ribosomal RNA, 253 nt
Filed under: uncultured bacterium
Lineage: Bacteria
Description: partial 16S ribosomal RNA
Rfam family: Bacterial small subunit ribosomal RNA
Source: RNAcentral